RNAcentral lists this ribosomal RNA (684 nucleotides) under uncultured Actinomycetes bacterium. Its description in RNAcentral is "bacterial SSU rRNA". It matches the Rfam family "Bacterial small subunit ribosomal RNA", at positions 11 to 710 of the family's 1533-position model. The record is from RNAcentral. Lineage: Bacteria; Bacillati; Actinomycetota; Actinomycetes.
GUUUGAUCCUGGCUCAGGACGAACGCUGGCGGCGUGCUUAACACAUGCAAGUCGAGCGGAAAGGCCCUUCGGGGUACUCGAGCGGCGAACGGGUGAGUAACACGUGAGCAACCUGCCCCAGGCUUUGGGAUAACCCCGGGAAACCGGGGCUAACACCGAAUAUUACCUCUGAUCGCAUGGUUGGUGGUGGAAAGUUUUUCGGCUUGGGAUGGGCUCGCGGCCUAUCAGCUUGUUGGUGGGGUGAUGGCCUACCAAGGCGACGACGGGUAGCCGGCCUGAGAGGGCGACCGGCCACACUGGGACUGAGACACGGCCCAGACUCCUACGGGAGGCAGCAGUGGGGAAUAUUGCACAAUGGGCGGAAGCCUGAUGCAGCGACGCCGCGUGAGGGAUGACGGCCUUCGGGUUGUAAACCUCUUUCAGCAGGGACGAAGCGUAAGUGACGGUACCUGCAGAAGAAGCGCCGGCCAACUACGUGCCAGCAGCCGCGGUAAGACGUAGGGCGCGAGCGUUGUCCGGAUUUAUUGGGCGUAAAGAGCUCGUAGGCGGCUUGUCGCGUCGACCGUGAAAACCUGGGGCUCAACUCCAGGCCUGCGGUCGAUACGGGCAGGCUUGAGUUCCGUAGGGGAGACUGGGAAUUCCCUGGUGUAGCGGUGAAAUGCCGCAGAUAUCAGGAGGAACACC